This 85-nucleotide microRNA precursor is filed under the name Bombyx mori (domestic silkworm). RNAcentral's name for it is "mir-2807 microRNA precursor family". It matches the Rfam family "mir-2807 microRNA precursor family". Lineage: Eukaryota; Metazoa; Arthropoda; Insecta; Lepidoptera; Bombycidae. The record is from Rfam by way of RNAcentral.
UUAACUCAAAUUUGUAUGCAGUUGGAACGUUUGCCUACGUUUGCCGCUAGGGGCACUGUUACAACUGCUGUUAGCUUUUACGCUA